UUACCAGCUAGAAAGACAUCUAAUUUGGUCUUAAAUUGGAUUAAGGAGGAUCGCUUUAAUGUAAAUAUAAGAUCUUUAGCAUCUGUGCUUUCACCCCUAUAAGCUUCCCACCGAUCAUGCAUAGUCACUAUCUGCAUCAAUAAUAUCGAAACAUUCAACUAUAUUUAUUGUAUUCAUUGACCCAUUGGAGUAUGUGAACUUUAAUGGAUUACCCAAUUGAGCUAUAUUAGCAAAACAUAUUCCAAAUUAAUAAUGGGCAAUGAUUAUUAAAUAAGUAAUUAGUUUGAUAAUAAACAGACUUAUAAAUUUUGACAGUAAAGUUAAUAUAUUAUACAUUAUAAUUAUUCUAUGUAUUUUUCACUUAAAUAAUUUUUUUAUUUUCAAUAUUGAUAAAUAUCAAAUACCUAAACAAUUAUUUAACCAGUCAUCUAUGAUAGGAUUUCACAUCAUAUUAUUGAUAAUAAUUAUUUAAUAAAUAAAAAAAAGGAAGAAAAUAAGAGAGAAAGAAAGUAGAAUUACCUUCCGGCGUAGGGUGACGAUGGGGUAACCGGCGGCAUCAACCAAGACACGGCGAUCACGGAGGGUUAAAAGAGAACCUUUAACUUUGAAAACAAUGUUGCCGUUAACAUCAGUGACGGUGAAGUUUCCGUCUGAAAUGG
This 659-nucleotide long non-coding RNA is filed under the name Cicer arietinum (chickpea). Its description in RNAcentral is "long non-coding RNA (CARI_LNC000772)". Lineage: Eukaryota; Viridiplantae; Streptophyta; Magnoliopsida; Fabales; Fabaceae. The record is from RNAcentral.